CAGUCGCCGCGGUAAUACGUAGGUGGCAAGCGUUGUCCGGAAUUAUUGGGCGUAAAGGGCUCGCAGGCGGUUUCUUAAGUCUGAUGUGAAAGCCCCCGGCUCAACCGGGGAGGGUCAUUGGAAACUGGGAAACUUGAGUGCAGAAGAGGAGAGUGGAAUUCCACGUGUAGCGGUGAAAUGCGUAGAGAUGUGGAGGAACACCAGUGGCGAAGGCGGCUUUUUGGCCUGUAACUGACACUGAGGCGCGAAAGCGUGGGGAGCAAACAGGAUUAGAUACCCGUGUAGUCCCUGUCUCUUAUAC
Molecule: ribosomal RNA, 301 nt
Filed under: uncultured bacterium
Lineage: Bacteria
Description: partial 16S ribosomal RNA
Rfam family: Bacterial small subunit ribosomal RNA
Source: RNAcentral